GACGAACCGUCCAAACGUUAUUCGGAAUUACUGGGCUUAAAGGGUGCGUAGGCGGCGCGGUAAGUUGGGUGUGAAAUCCCUCGGCUCAACCGAGGAAUUGCGCUUGAUACUGCCGUGCUCGAGGGAGACAGAGGUGAGCGGAACUUAGGGUGGAGCGGUGAAAUGCGUUGAUAUCCUAAGGAACACCAGUGGCGAAAGCGGCUCACUGGGUCUCUUCUGACGCUGAGGCACGAAAGCUAGGGGAGCGAACGGG
This 253-nucleotide ribosomal RNA is filed under the name uncultured bacterium. RNAcentral's name for it is "partial 16S ribosomal RNA". It matches the Rfam family "Bacterial small subunit ribosomal RNA", at positions 524 to 776 of the family's 1533-position model. The record is from RNAcentral. RNAcentral also lists the same sequence under 2 other names.